Molecule: ribosomal RNA, 396 nt
Filed under: uncultured bacterium
Lineage: Bacteria
Description: partial 16S ribosomal RNA
Rfam family: Bacterial small subunit ribosomal RNA
Source: RNAcentral
CCUACGGGUGGCAGCAGUGAGGAAUAUUGGUCAAUGGACGAGAGUCUGAACCAGCCAAGUAGCGUGAAGGAUGACUGCCCUACGGGUUGUAAACUUCUUUUAUAUGGGAAUAAAAUGUUCCACGUGUGGCAUCUUGUAUGUACCCUAUGAAUAAGGCUCGGCCAACUCCGUGCCAGCAGCCGCGGUAAUACGGGGGAUGCAAGCGUUAUCCGGAGUUUUUGGGGUUAAAGGGUGCGUAGGCUGGGAGGUAAGUUAGCGGGGUAAUGCCGCCGCUCAACGGGGUUAAGUGCCAUUGAUACUGGCGUGCUUGAGUGCAGAUGUCGUAGGAGGAAUGUGUGGUGUAGCGGUGAAAUGCAUAGAUAUCACGCAGAACACCGAUUGCGAAGGCAUCUCGCG